Long non-coding RNA from Ictalurus punctatus (channel catfish), 318 nucleotides. NCBI's taxonomy places the organism in Eukaryota, Metazoa, Chordata, Actinopteri, Siluriformes, Ictaluridae. The record is from Ensembl.
UAAGAGUGUUGAUGUCUUGCAGUGGAAUUUGAAUGUAAUCUAGAACUACACCUUUCACUCAUUUCACUUUUUGAAGGUGAGCAUGUGCAGGCAGACAGGAGGAAAUAGAAAGCAAAGAAGAAGAUAAAUGAGAUCUGACAGGAUGACAUCUGACAGCAGACGGACCAGCACAGGCCUGUUCAGACUGAUUUCCUUUCUUCUGCUUUCCACACACAUAUACAGCAUGCUGUACAGUUAGACACAGAAGAAAAUACUGGAGACUGAAUUAUAGGUUUCAAAUGGGGAAGAAAAAAACAACCCCCCCCCCCAAAAAAAAAC